GAAUUGAUCUGGUCAGAACGAACGCUGGCGGCAUGCCUAAUACAUGCAAGUCGAACGGAGAUAGCAAUAUCGUUAGUGGCGAACGGGUGCGUAACACGUGAGCAACCUGCCUUAUACAUCGGAAUAACAGCUGGAAACGGCUGCUAAUACCGGAUAAGACCACACCAAGGCAUCUUGGAGAGGUCAAAGCGAAUUAGCGGUAUAAGAUGGGCUCGCGUCCAAUUAGCUAGUUGUGGGGUAACGGCCCACCAAGGCAACGAUUGGUAGCCGACUUGAGAGAGUGAUCGGCCACACUGGAACUGAGACACGGUCCAGACUCCUACGGGAGGCAGCAGUAGGGAAUAUUGGGCAAUGGAAGGAAACUCUUACCCAGCAAUGCCGCGUGAAUGAUGAAGGUCUUAUGGUUUGUAAAGUUCUUUAAUUGGGGACGAAAGAAAUGACGGUACCCAAAGAAUAAGCCCCGGCUAACUACGUGCCAGCCGCAGC
This 486-nucleotide ribosomal RNA is filed under the name uncultured bacterium. RNAcentral's name for it is "bacterial SSU rRNA". It matches the Rfam family "Bacterial small subunit ribosomal RNA", at positions 1 to 518 of the family's 1533-position model. The record is from RNAcentral.